Nyctereutes procyonoides (raccoon dog) is the source of this 390-nucleotide long non-coding RNA. RefSeq lists it as uncharacterized. Lineage: Eukaryota; Metazoa; Chordata; Mammalia; Carnivora; Canidae. The record is from RefSeq and is a predicted model, not a curated record. The transcript has 3 exons.
CUCUGAGAUCCUGACCUGAGUUGGAUGCGCCACCGACUGAGCCACCCAGCUGCCCCUCCCUGAAGACAUUUCUUGAAGUCAAUACCAAUCCCUUUGUAACUCAGACUGACCUGACAUCUUUAAUGUCUUCAGCUACUCUGGUAAAUAGCCCUCAGUGCUCUAAAAUAGAGAAGAAGAAAGAGAAAUCAUGCAAGAAGGAGGUAGGAGGAGCAGAGGAAGAGAGAGAAAAGCUUAAACAAGCUCUAGUCCCAGUGUGGAGCCCAAUGCCAGGCUCAAUCUCAAGACCCUGAGAUCAUGACAUGAGUGGAAAUCAAGAGUCAGGAGCUUAACUGACUGAGCCACCCAGGCACUCCUAGGCCCUCUUUCUUGUAUUAUGGGGCUUAGAAAAGU